GUGCAUUUCCAGCAAAAGUGCGAAGCGCCUACGCGGGGAAAUCAGUCCACUGGACUGAUUUCUGAUCCCGCUUCGAUGCGUCGGAUAAUGCGACCAGGAAAAGUG
This 105-nucleotide unclassified non-coding RNA is filed under the name Brucella sp. 191011898. RNAcentral's name for it is "BASRCI153". Lineage: Bacteria; Pseudomonadati; Pseudomonadota; Alphaproteobacteria; Hyphomicrobiales; Brucellaceae. The record is from RNAcentral.